Molecule: long non-coding RNA, 194 nt
Organism: Morone saxatilis (striped sea-bass)
Lineage: Eukaryota; Metazoa; Chordata; Actinopteri; Moronidae
Exons: 3
Source: RefSeq, a predicted model, not a curated record
AGGUCAUCAUCUUUGACAUCUGCAGCAACUCUAACUCACCAUGAAGAUGCUAGCUGUGUCUGUACUUGUUGUUGCCAUGAUGGCUCUGACUAGGGGUGCUUCUCUUUCAGACUCAGAGGCCUCUGCUGCGACAGAAGCAACAAUUCAAGAAAAUUCAGAGGCCGCUCCUGCAACAGAAGCAACAAUUGAAGAAA